GAGGAGUAAGCCCAUUAUAUUAGAGUAUUAGGGUUUCAACACAGCCGCCAAACUUUCACUUCCUCUCUCAUUUCAUUUCUCUCUCUGUCUUGCUCUCUCUCCUCACUCAAUCUCCUCCCUCCAAUUUUGUUCAGUUUUGCUUGAUAAUGUUAGAUAUUUGAAACAACGAUGAGAAUAAUCUUAUCUUCUUCUCUGAGCUUUGAAGAUCAACAAUGGCGGGUAAAUACAUCGUCGGCUCACUCGUUGGAUCCUUUUCGUUGCUUAUGAUUGCGAUUACAUAAUGUCUGAUCAGAAGAUUUUCGGAGGCAUGGCCUCGUACUACUGGACCUCCGGUGGUGAUGAACCCUAUCAGUCGUCAGAACUUCAUCAUCAAGACUACUGAAUCUUGAAGGUUCCUAAGGCAGCCUCAGAAUUUGAGAUCAAAGUUGCAACAUGGAAAAAUGGUGGAAGAUGUAUAUUAUUACUAUUGAGAUUUGUUUUGCUCUAUUUUUAUAGUUUUUAUUAGGUUAUAAAGAAUGUAGACAUUUAUUUUUAUUUUAUUUUUAUUUUUUUGAAAGAAGAAUGUAGGCAUUUACAUUCUUGUAAUAAAGAAUGUAAGCAUUUUUUUUUUAAAGAAGAAUGUAGGAUUGUAUAUAAUGUGUGUAAAAUAUAAUUUUAUAAAUUUCUCUAAUUAAUGGAUAAUGAUUGUGCAAGUCCAA
Long non-coding RNA from Chenopodium quinoa (quinoa), 698 nucleotides. RefSeq lists it as uncharacterized. The record is from RefSeq and is a predicted model, not a curated record. NCBI's taxonomy places the organism in Eukaryota, Viridiplantae, Streptophyta, Magnoliopsida, Caryophyllales, Amaranthaceae. The transcript is spliced from 4 exons.